This 1094-nucleotide long non-coding RNA is filed under the name Anas platyrhynchos platyrhynchos (common mallard). Its description in RNAcentral is "lncRNA (ENSAPLG00000028684.1)". The record is from RNAcentral. Lineage: Eukaryota; Metazoa; Chordata; Aves; Anseriformes; Anatidae.
GGAAAAUAUACUUUCCCGUCCUGUAGUGCUUCAAGUGAUGCUGAGGGCACAAUGUCACUGAAGUUUAGCUUAACAUUUUGAGAGGUAUUAUCUUGAUUAAUUAAACAAAACAUAACACUUUCUAGAUUGUGCACUUAAACCACCAGUAUCUCUUUGAAAUUACAGGAAAUUAAUGAACCUAAGAAAAGUAUGUACUUCUCUACAUCUUUUUAGUGGUACAAAGUAGACAUAACAGCUAUUGUUUUGGUUUGGGACUCCGAGAGUCUCAGUGCACUGUUGAAACUCCUUUCAUAAGGCUAAUAAGCAACAAUUCACUUUCUCAAGAAAGCAGAAAGCUGAGGAUCUGGGCCAUCCUCCACUCAAAUUUUGUGUGCACUGGAGUUAUGGAUUGAGUGAAGUAAAAACAAGUUGCCAAGAUGGUAUUGACAAACCAGAGGAGAGAACUUCAGAAGAAAACAGCCAUGGAGAUCAAAAUCAGGCUUCAGGUAGAGGACAACUGACUAGUCAUCAUUCUAUAUAAAAUCUGGAAGUGUGCAGUUAAGGUUGGAAAUACAGCAGAUAGUGAAGAAGCAGCAACAUGGCUUGACUCUGAAGGCUAGAUAUCCAGAUUUCUUAAGAUUGCCAGGAGCAUACAAACCUCUUUGCUGUAGUUUCCCUUGGAAAAAAAAGAGAGGUGCAAGUGAACAAUUUGCACUGAUACUAAAUUGAAGGGGUACAGGGAUGAAAAGAUAAAAAGGAGAAGCUAAAACAGAACUCAGGAGGAUCUAGAGCUGAGUUACAAGUUAGAGCAAUGCUGUAAGAUUGCAUUGUGUCGUGAGGCUGAUGACUCCUGGUGCUUUUGUUCAGUUUCUCUUGACACCUUGAAGAAAUAUCCUUGUCAUACCUGGUCUCAGACUUAUUUUAGCCCGAUGCCUGUGCUACACUGAAUCCUGAAAGAAACCCUGAAUCAAGAAGAACCUUAUUCGACUUGGCCAUAGCUCUCUUUCCAGUUUGCCCUAGCAGCUGCAGCCUCAGUUUGCAUAUUUCAAGUGUUGAUUAAAUGGGGAAAUAUUCUGACUCUGUCAUGAUUUAAUGUAUAUUUUAACAUACUGAGC